CAAAGAAGAAGCUUGGGUAUGGAAGGCCACUGUGGAUCCACCAUACCCUAUCAAGGCCAGGACUCCAAUUUGUCUCCCAGGGGUCUUCUUUUGGAGUGCUCUCAAGUCCAUGGCACAUGGCAAGUGAUCAUCUAGGCAAGAAUGAUGCACUAUCUGCACUAGGUGGAAAGUUAUGCUAUAUCCACUCUCCCACUCCGUGGGAGAUUGCCAUUUGGUUAGCGGAAGAUGGGCCAAAUCUGACUUGGUCACUAUGCCGCCGUGUCAGUCUGCCGAUACCAAGAAAUCUUCUUGCCUUUGCAUGUGCGUCAACUGACCCGGACAAGAUAUUCCUCUCCAUUGAUGCGCGCUACCUUCUCAGGUGUGACCUCCAUGAUGAAUCUCUUGAAGAAAUAAUCAACAUGCGCGACAUGUUGUAUGAUCUCCGGAACGGCAGAAAAUUCACCAUUGGUUCACUCCUUGUUGCCCACUAUAUGGUGCCAUUUGUGGAAUCACUGUUGCACAUCAGAUCUUCAUAGCAACAAGCCAUCAUAUCGUAUGUGAUGUGAUCUAAUAAAUGUUGUCCAAUUUCUUGUGUGCAAGUGUUGCAAUCAAAAUUCUGCAUUAAUACAUAUUUGUUUUUGUAUUGUUCUUA
Long non-coding RNA from Triticum aestivum (bread wheat), 631 nucleotides. RefSeq lists it as uncharacterized. NCBI's taxonomy places the organism in Eukaryota, Viridiplantae, Streptophyta, Magnoliopsida, Poales, Poaceae. The transcript is spliced from 2 exons. The record is from RefSeq and is a predicted model, not a curated record.